GUGUUCUUCAAAGCUGGGCUAAUAGGUCUUCUGGAGGAGAUGAGAGAUGAAAAGCUGGCAGAGAUUAUGACCAUGAUACAAGCCAGGUGCAGGGGCUUCCUCAUGAGAGUGGAAUAUCGGAGAAUGGUGGAGAGGAGGGAGUCCAUCUUCUGCAUCCAGUACAAUGUCCGGUCCUUCAUGAACGUUAAGCACUGGCCCUGGAUGAAGCUGUUCUUCAAGAUCAAGCCCUUGCUGAAGAGCGCAGAAUCAGAGAAGGAAAUGGCCAAUAUGAAGGAAGAGUUUGAGAAAACCAAGGAAGAGCUUGCAAAGUCUGAAGCAAAGAGGAAGGAGCUGGAGGAGAAAAUGGUGGCUUUGCUGCAGGAAAAAAAUGACCUGCAGCUCCAAGUGCAGGCUGAAGCAGAUAGCUUGGCCGAUGCAGAGGAAAGAUGUGACCAGCUGAUCAAAACCAAAAUCCAGCUGGAAGCCAAAAUUAAGGAGGUGACUGAAAGAGCAGAGGAUGAGGAGGAAAUCAAUGCUGAGCUGACAGCCAAGAAGAGGAAACUAGAGGAUGAAUGCUCAGAGCUGAAGAAAGAUAUUGAUGACCUUGAGCUAACGCUGGCCAAAGUUGAGAAGGAAAAGCAUGCCACUGAGAACAAGGUGAAAAACCUCACUGAGGAGAUGGCAGCCCUGGAUGAAACCAUCGCCAAGCUCACAAAAGAGAAGAAAGCCCUCCAAGAGGCCCACCAACAGACACUGGAUGACCUGCAGGCAGAAGAGGACAAAGUCAAUACGCUGACCAAGGCUAAAACCAAGCUGGAGCAGCAAGUGGAUGAUCUUGAAGGGUCCCUGGAGCAAGAGAAGAAACUGCGCAUGGACCUUGAGAGAGCCAAGAGGAAACUCGAGGGUGAUCUGAAGCUGUCCCAUGACAGCAUAAUGGACUUGGAAAAUGAUAAGCAGCAGCUGGAUGAGAAACUGAAGAAGAAAGACUUUGAAAUCAGCCAGAUCCAGAGCAAGAUCGAGGAUGAACAAGCCCUGGGCAUGCAAUUACAGAAGAAGAUCAAGGAGUUGCAGGCCCGAAUUGAGGAACUGGAGGAGGAAAUUGAGGCCGAGCGGACCUCUCGCGCCAAAGCAGAGAAGCAUCGGGCUGACCUCUCCAGGGAGCUGGAGGAGAUCAGCGAGCGCCUGGAGGAAGCAGGGGGAGCUACGGCAGCUCAGAUCGACAUGAACAAGAAGCGUGAGGCGGAAUUUCAGAAGAUGCGGCGCGACCUCGAAGAGGCCACUCUGCAGCAUGAAGCCACCGCUGCCGCCCUGCGCAAGAAGCACGCGGACAGCACAGCCGAGCUCGGGGAGCAAAUAGACAACCUGCAGCGUGUCAAGCAGAAGCUGGAGAAGGAGAAGAGUGAGCUCAAGAUGGAGAUUGAUGACUUGGCCAGUAACAUGGAGUCUGUCUCCAAAGCCAAGGCAAAUCUAGAGAAGAUGUGCCGCACUCUGGAAGACCAACUGAGUGAGAUUAAGACAAAGGAAGAGCAGGAUCAGCGCACGAUUAAUGACCUCAAUACCCACAGGGCUCGUCUGCAGACAGAAACAGGGGAAUAUUCACGCCAGGUGGAGGAAAAGGAUGCCUUGAUUUCUCAGCUGUCUAGAGGCAAGCAGGGCUUUACCCAACAGAUUGAGGAACUGAAGAGACAUCUAGAUGAAGAAGUAAAGACAAAGCAGAGGCUGCAGAGUGAAGUGGAGGACCUGAUGAUUGAUGUGGAAAGGUCAAAUGCAGCUUGUGCAGCUUUGGACAAGAAGCAGAAGAAUUUCGACAAGAUCCUGUCAGAGUGGAAGCAGAAGUAUGAGGAAACGCAGGCUGAGCUGGAAGCCUCCCAGAAGGAGGCUCGCUCUCUCAGCACGGAGCUGUUCAAGAUGAAGAAUGCCUAUGAGGAGUCCUUGGACCACCUGGAAACCCUGAAGCGCGAAAACAAGAACUUGCAGCAGGAGAUUUCUGACCUCACAGAGCAGAUUGCAGAGAGUGGAAAGGCCAUUCAUGAGCUGGAGAAAGCGAAGAAGCAGGCUGAACAGGAGAAAUCUGGAAUCCAGGCUGCUCUGGAGGAGGCAGAGGCCUCCCUAGAACAUGAGGAGGGGAAGAUCCUGCGCCUGCAACUGGAGCUCAACCAGAUCAAAUCUGAGAUUGAUCGAAAGAUAGCAGAAAAGGAUGAGGAAAUUGACCAGCUGAAGAGAAACCAUCUCCGAGUUGUGGAGUCCAUGCAGAGCAGCCUGGAUGCUGAGAUCAGGAGCAGGAAUGAGGCUGAAGAAGAAGAUGGAGGGAGACCUCAAUGAAAUGGAGAUUCAGCUGAGCCAUGCCAACCGCCAGGCAGCAGAUGCACAGAAGAAUCUAAGAAAUGCACAGGGAGUGCUCAAGGAUACCCAAAUACACUUGGAUGAUGCUCUCAGGACACAGGAGGACCUGAAGGAGCAGGUGGCCAUGGUGGAGCGCAGAGCAAACCUGUUGCAGGCUGAAAUAGAAGAGCUCCGGGCAGCCCUGGAGCAGACGGAGCGGUCAAGGAAAGUGGCUGAGCAGGAACUGAUGGAUGCAACGGAACGCGUGCAGCUUCUCCAUACCCAGAACACCAGCUUGAUCAACACCAAGAAGAAGCUGGAAACAGACAUCAUGCACAUUCAGGGAGAAAUGGAAGAUACAAUCCAGGAAGCUCGCAAUGCUGAAGAGAAGGCCAAGAAGGCCAUCACAGAUGCGGCCAUGAUGGCAGAAGAGCUGAAGAAGGAGCAGGACACAAGCGCCCACCUGGAGAGGAUGAAGAAGAACUUGGACCAGACAGUGAAGGACCUGCAGCACCGUUUGGAUGAAGCUGAGCAGCUGGCAUUGAAAGGAGGGAAGAAGCAAAUCCAGAAACUGGAGGCCAGGGUGCGUGAGCUGGAAGGGGAGGUUGAUUCUGAGCAGAAGCGCAGCGCUGAAGCCGUCAAGGGUGUGCGCAAAUACGAGAGGAGGGUGAAGGAGCUGACCUACCAGUCUGAGGAAGACCGGAAGAAUGUUCUAAGGCUCCAGGGCCUGGUGGACAAGCUGCAAAUGAAAGUGAAGGCCUACAAGAGACAAUCUGAGGAGGCUGAGGAGCUGUCCAACGUCAACCUCUCCAAAUUCCGCAAGAUCCAGCACGAGCUGGAGGAAGCCGAGGAGCGGGCUGACAUUGCAGAGUCGCAGGUCAACAAGCUCCGAGCCAAGAGCCGCGAGUUUCACAGCAAGAAGAUAGAAGAGGAAGAGUGAGGAUGUCAAGAUGCAGCA
This is a non-coding RNA of Tinamus guttatus (white-throated tinamou), 3259 nucleotides long. Lineage: Eukaryota; Metazoa; Chordata; Aves; Tinamiformes; Tinamidae. The record is from RefSeq and is a predicted model, not a curated record.